RNAcentral lists this unclassified non-coding RNA (344 nucleotides) under soil metagenome. RNAcentral's name for it is "partial contains 5.8S ribosomal RNA, internal transcribed spacer 2, and large subunit ribosomal RNA". The stretch from base 1 to 120 matches the Rfam family "5.8S ribosomal RNA", at positions 35 to 154 of the family's 154-position model. The record is from RNAcentral.
GAUGAAGAACGUAGCGAAAUGCGAUAAGUAAUGUGAAUUGCAGAAUUCAGUGAAUCAUCGAAUCUUUGAACGCACAUUGCGCCCGCCAGUAUUCUGGCGGGCAUGCCUGUUCGAGCGUCAUUUCAACCCUCAGGGCCCUUUUGGACCUGGCGUUGGGGCUCGGCCGCUACCCUGCGGCCGUCCCCGAAAGAUAGUGGCGGUCUCGCUGUAGCCUCCUCUGCGUAGUAGUUACAUCUCGCACUGGAACGCGGCGCGGCCAUGCCGUUAAACACCCCACUUCUCAAGGUUGACCUCGGAUCAGGUAGGAAUACCCGCUGAACUUAAGCAUAUCAAUAAUCGGAGGA